GACGAACGCUGGCGGCGUGCUUAACACAUGCAAGUCGAACGGAAAGGCCCUGCUUUUGUGGGGUGCUCGAGUGGCGAACGGGUGAGUAACACGUGAGUAACCUGCCCUUGACUUUGGGAUAACUUCAGGAAACUGGGGCUAAUACCGGAUAGGAGCUCCUGCUGCAUGGUGGGGGUUGGAAAGUUUCGGCGGUUGGGGAUGGACUCGCGGCUUAUCAGCUUGUUGGUGGGGUAGUGGCUUACCAAGGCUUUGACGGGUAGCCGGCCUUAGAGGGUGACCGGCCACAUUGGGACUGAGAUACGGCCCAGUCUCCUACGGGAGGCAGCAGUGGGGAAUAUUGCACAAUGGGCGGAAGCCUGAGGCAGCAACGCCGCGUGCGGGAUGACGGCCUUCGGGUUGUAAACCGCUUUCGCCUGUGACGAAGCGUGAGUGACGGUAAUGGGUAAAGAAGCACCGGCUAACUACGUG
This 468-nucleotide ribosomal RNA is filed under the name uncultured bacterium. RNAcentral describes it as "partial 16S ribosomal RNA". It matches the Rfam family "Bacterial small subunit ribosomal RNA", at positions 28 to 507 of the family's 1533-position model. The record is from RNAcentral.